UAUUCCGCAAUUAUUUAUAUC
RNAcentral lists this non-coding RNA (21 nucleotides) under Caenorhabditis elegans. Lineage: Eukaryota; Metazoa; Nematoda; Chromadorea; Rhabditida; Rhabditidae. The record is from RNAcentral.